GAUUAAUCGUUGUUUUGCCUUGUUAGUCGACGCUUCAUUUCCCACCGGAGCUUGCUCCACCGGGAAAAGAGGAGUGGCGAACGGGUGAGUAACACGUGGGUAACCUGCCCAUCAGAAGGGGAUAACACUUGGAAACAGGUGCUAAUACCGUAUAACAAUCGAAACCGCAUGGUUUCGUUUUGAAAGGCGCUUUACGGUGCCGCUGAUGGAUGGACCCGCGGUGCAUUAGCUAGUUGGUGAGGUAACGGCUCACCAAGGCCACGAUGCAUAGCCGACCUGAGAGGGUGAUCGGCCACAUUGGGACUGAGACACGGCCCAAACUCCUACGGGAGGCAGCAGUAGGGAAUCUUCGGCAAUGGACGAAAGUCUGACCGAGCAACGCCGCGUGAGUGAAGAAGGUUUUCGGAUCGUAAAACUCUGUUGUUAGAGAAGAACAAGGGUGAGAGUAACUGUUCACCCCUUGACGGUAUCUAACCAGAAAGCCACGGCUAACUACGUGCCAGCAGCCGCGGUAAUACGUAGGUGGCAAGCGUUGUCCGGAUUUAUUGGGCGUAAAGCGAGCGCAGGCGGUUUCUUAAGUCUGAUGUGAAAGCCCCCGGCUCAACCGGGGAGGGUCAUUGGAAACUGGGAGACUUGAGUGCAGAAGAGGAGAGUGGAAUUCCAUGUGUAGCGGUGAAAUGCGUAGAUAUAUGGAGGAACACCAGUGGCGAAUGCGGCUCUCUGGUCUGUAACUGACGCUGAGGCUCGAAAGCGUGGGGAGCAAACAGGAUUAGAUACCUGGUAGUCCACGCCGUAAACGAUGAGUGCUAAGUGUUGGAGGGUUUCCGCCCUUCAGUGCUGCAGCUAACGCAUUAAGCACUCCGCCUGGGGAGUACGACCGCAAGGUUGAAACUCAAAGGAAUUGACGGGGGCCCGCACAAGCGGUGGAGCAUGUGGUUUAAUUCGAAGCAACGCGAAGAACCUUACCAGGUCUUGACAUCCUUUGACCACUCUAGAGAUAGAGCUUCCCCUUCGGGGGCAAAGUGACAGGUGGUGCAUGGUUGUCGUCAGCUCGUGUCGUGAGAUGUUGGGUUAAGUCCCGCAACGAGCGCAACCCUUAUUGUUAGUUGCCAUCAUUUAGUUGGGCACUCUAGCAAGACUGCCGGUGACAAACCGGAGGAAGGUGGGGAUGACGUCAAAUCAUCAUGCCCCUUAUGACCUGGGCUACACACGUGCUACAAUGGGAAGUACAACGAGUCGCGAAGUCGCGAGGCUAAGCUAAUCUCUUAAAGCUUCUCUCAGUUCGGAUUGUAGGCUGCAACUCGCCUACAUGAAGCCGGAAUCGCUAGUAAUCGCGGAUCAGCACGCCGCGGUGAAUACGUUCCCGGGCCUUGUACACACCGCCCGUCACACCACGAGAGUUUGUAACACCCGAAGUCGGUGAGGUAACCUUUUUGGAGCCAGCCGCCUAAGGUGGGAUAGAUGAUGGCGGAAGACGCAUGAGUAGAUAUGA
RNAcentral lists this ribosomal RNA (1492 nucleotides) under Enterococcus mundtii. RNAcentral's name for it is "bacterial SSU rRNA". It matches the Rfam family "Bacterial small subunit ribosomal RNA". The record is from RNAcentral. Lineage: Bacteria; Bacillati; Bacillota; Bacilli; Lactobacillales; Enterococcaceae.